UACGGGGGGGGUAAGCGUUGUUCGGAAUUACUGGGCGUAAAGGGCUCGUAGGCGGCCAACUAAGUCAUACGUGAAAUCCCUCAGCUUAACUGGGGAACUGCGUGUGAUACUGGAUGGCUUGGAUUUGGGAGAGGGAUGCGGAAUUCCAGGUGUAGCGGUGAAAUGCGUAGAUAUCUGGAGGAACACCGGUGGCGAAGGCGGCAUCCUGGACAACUCCUGACACUGAGGCACGAAAGCUAGGGGAGCAAACAGG
This 253-nucleotide ribosomal RNA is filed under the name uncultured bacterium. RNAcentral's name for it is "partial 16S ribosomal RNA". It matches the Rfam family "Bacterial small subunit ribosomal RNA", at positions 524 to 776 of the family's 1533-position model. The record is from RNAcentral.